This 253-nucleotide ribosomal RNA is filed under the name uncultured bacterium. Its description in RNAcentral is "partial 16S ribosomal RNA". It matches the Rfam family "Bacterial small subunit ribosomal RNA", at positions 524 to 776 of the family's 1533-position model. The record is from RNAcentral.
UACGUAGGUGGCAAGCGUUGUCCGGAAUUAUUGGGCGUAAAGCGCGCGCAGGCGGCACUGUAAGUAAGGUGUGAAAUAUCCCUGCUCAACGGGGAGGGUGCACUUUAGACUGCAGAGCUAGAGGACGGUAGAGGGGGGUGGAAUUGCUGGUGUAGCGGUGAAAUGCGUAGAGAUCAGCAGGAACACCCGUGGCGAAGGCGGCCCCCUGGGCCGAACCUGACGCUGAGGCGCGAAGGCUAGGGGAGCGAACGGG